GUGACCCCAGGUCAGGCGGGAUUACCCGCUGAGUUUAA
This 38-nucleotide ribosomal RNA is filed under the name Perezia microcephala. Its description in RNAcentral is "partial 26S ribosomal RNA". RNAcentral also lists the same sequence under 2 other names. Lineage: Eukaryota; Viridiplantae; Streptophyta; Magnoliopsida; Asterales; Asteraceae. The record is from RNAcentral.